CAGUAGCCGCGGGAACACGAAGGGGGCUAGCGUUGCUCGGAAUCACUGGGCGUAAAGGGUGCGUAGGCGGGUUUUUAAGUCAGAGGUGAAAUCCUGGAGCUCAACUCCAGAACUGCCUUUGAUACUGAAAGUCUUGAGUAUGGGAGAGGUGAGUGGAACUGCGAGUGUAGAGGUGAAAUUCGUAGAUAUUCGCAAGAACACCAGUGGCGAAGGCGGCUCACUGGCCCAUUACUGACGCUGAGGCACGAAAGCGUGGGGAGCAAACAGGAUUAGAUACCCCCGUAGUCCCUGUCUCUUAUAC
This 301-nucleotide ribosomal RNA is filed under the name uncultured bacterium. RNAcentral's name for it is "partial 16S ribosomal RNA". It matches the Rfam family "Bacterial small subunit ribosomal RNA", at positions 509 to 807 of the family's 1533-position model. The record is from RNAcentral.